Arachis duranensis is the source of this 107-nucleotide small nucleolar RNA. The record is from RefSeq and is a predicted model, not a curated record. NCBI's taxonomy places the organism in Eukaryota, Viridiplantae, Streptophyta, Magnoliopsida, Fabales, Fabaceae.
AAGACAUGAUGUGGACAUCUUCUAAGCAUCUUCUUGUACCUCUUCCAAGUUUCAUAGAGGGAUUCACUCUUUUUUUGGGAGAAUGAAUUGAUGUCAUUCCUCAUCCA